This is a long non-coding RNA of Solea solea (common sole), 1327 nucleotides long. RefSeq lists it as uncharacterized. The transcript is spliced from 3 exons. The record is from RefSeq and is a predicted model, not a curated record. NCBI's taxonomy places the organism in Eukaryota, Metazoa, Chordata, Actinopteri, Pleuronectiformes, Soleidae.
AGAAGAAGAAGGCGCAUAAAGCGGAGACUCGUGACACACAACACACCUGCUCAUCUUCACGCAGGUGUUUUUCAAUCAGCUAAUGACCGCUGAUUGCUUCCUCCUCCUCUUCUUAUUUAAUCUUCGUCCAGCCAACAGUUCCGGGAUGUUACUUUGAAGAGAAGCUGCACGAGCCGUGGAACGAAAAAAAAAAGACGCGAAAAAAGUGUCGCUGCUUCGCUACUGAAACUGUUCCGGGAGGAGGGAACUUGUGACGGUAAUGCACCAACCGCCAUAAAACCUCAAAAAAGGAAGGAACUUUAAAAAAAAGAAGAGAAAAAAAAAAAAUAAAACUACCGCUGCGUGACGUCAGACGCCGAAAAGGUGGCCGCGUGCAUCAGCUCCUGUAUAAAAACGCAGCAAGGCGCUCCAGGAUGGCGUGUUCGACCUGGUCCAGAUUGGUGUCCCGUCCAGAAUGGAACAACCUGCUUCCUGCUCACAGAGACCUGGUCGGACCCGCCAUAUACAAAAGGCUGAGGCAGUUAAAAAAAGAUUGAUCUUCAUGAAGAUUGUCAAAUAGUAGGUGUCAUGAUUUAAUUCUGGGUGGCCGCUGUGUCCCCACUCUUUCUUGGCCACUGUGCCUACAUCUAUCUGCAUUGUCCAACAUGGCCACGUUCUUUCUAUUCUCCUGCUUUCUUCUGAAUCUGUCAAAUAGCUGAGGGUUGUGCCUUGUACACUCUGUCACAAGGUUAAGACUUCUUGGCCGCUGUGCCUUUUCUUUUUUUCCUCUUUUCCAUCGUGGCCAUUAAUCUACCGCUAGCCCUAGAACGCUUAAAUAGAUCCUGGUGAUCUACAGUACCUGGCUUUAGAUGGCAGCUUUGCCAUUGCCUUUGUAUGGCCAUACGUCCCUUAAUGCAAGUCGGCCUUGAUCGCUAACUGUGCCCGCGCCUUCAUAGUCUACUUGUGUUAUUGUACGUCUGGCCUUGCGCGUAUAGUCAUUUUAUAUAGGCAAACAUGGGUGCCUUCCGCGUCCAUGCACAGUAAGUGAACUAACCUGUACCUUUCUUCUAGCAUCAGUCAAGAGGAGCACCGACAUCCCUGCAUGUCCAUCUUAAUUAGAUUGCGUUUUAGUUAGGUUUAGGUAAAAUUUCAAAUGUUAAGUGCAGUUUUUCUUUCUUGCUUGGCCGCCGUGCCAUUACUAUACCUGCUCUGACCUGAAUCUUGAUUCUUCAUGGCCUCUGUGUCAUGACUGUACUUGGUCUUGGUGUUCAUCAUGCCAGUCUAUCAUUUCUGAUCUGUUUUUCCUACUAAGUUUUCGUGCGUGUGAGAGAGUGACUGUGAGAGAGUG